GGUUGCGUGGCGCAAUUGGCAGACGCACUAGAUUUAGGCUCUAGCAGUUGAAGGUUCGACUCCUUUCGCAACCACCA
This 77-nucleotide transfer RNA is filed under the name Avibacterium sp. 20-15. RNAcentral's name for it is "tRNA-Leu". It matches the Rfam family "tRNA". From Rfam's summary of the family: Transfer RNA (tRNA) molecules are approximately 80 nucleotides in length. Their secondary structure includes four short double-helical elements and three loops (D, anti-codon, and T loops). Further hydrogen bonds mediate the characteristic L-shaped molecular structure. tRNAs have two regions of fundamental functional importance: the anti-codon, which is responsible for specific mRNA codon recognition, and the 3' end, to which the tRNAs corresponding amino acid is attached (by aminoacyl-tRNA synthetases). tRNAs cope with the degeneracy of the genetic code in two manners: having more than one tRNA (with a specific anti-codon) for a particular amino acid; and 'wobble' base-pairing, i.e. permitting non-standard base-pairing at the 3rd anti-codon position. RNAcentral also lists the same sequence under 1 other name. The record is from RNAcentral. Lineage: Bacteria; Pseudomonadati; Pseudomonadota; Gammaproteobacteria; Pasteurellales; Pasteurellaceae.